GAUGAACGCUGGCGGCGUGCUUAACACAUGCAAGUCGAACGAUGAAGCUGGGGCUUUCUCUGGUGGAUUAGUGGCGAACGGGUGAGUAACACGUGAGCAACCUGCCCCUGACUCUGGGAUAACAGCCGGAAACGGCUGCUAAUACCGGAUAUGCACCAUUAAAGCAUGUUCUGUGGUGGGAAAGAUUUUUCGGUUGGGGAUGGGCUCGCGGCCUCUCGGCUUGUUGGUGAGGUAAUGGCUCACCAAGUCGUCGACGGGUAGCCGGCCUGAGAGGGUGACCGGGCACACUGGGACUGAGAGACGGCCCAGACUCCAACGGGAGGCAACAGUGGGGAAUAUUGCACAGUGGGCGAAAGCCUGAUGCAGCGGCGCCGCGUGAGGGAUGACGGGCUUCGGGUUGAAAACCUCUUUUAGCAGGGAAGAAGCGAGAGUGACGGUACCUGAAGAAAAAGCGCCGGCUAACUACGUG
Molecule: ribosomal RNA, 469 nt
Filed under: uncultured bacterium
Lineage: Bacteria
Description: partial 16S ribosomal RNA
Rfam family: Bacterial small subunit ribosomal RNA
Source: RNAcentral